UACGUAGGUCCCGAGCGUUGUCCGGAUUUAUUGGGCGUAAAGCGAGCGCAGGUGGUUUAUUAAGUCUGAUGUAAAAGGCAGUGGCUCAACCAUUGUAUGCAUUGGAAACUGGUAGACUUGAGUGCAGGAGAGGAGAGUGGAAUUCCAUGUGUAGCGGUGAAAUGCGUAGAUAUAUGGAAGAACACCGGUGGCGAAAGCGGCUCUCUGGCCUGUAACUGACACUGAGGCUCGAAAGCGUGGGGAGCAAACAGG
Molecule: ribosomal RNA, 252 nt
Filed under: uncultured bacterium
Lineage: Bacteria
Description: partial 16S ribosomal RNA
Rfam family: Bacterial small subunit ribosomal RNA
Source: RNAcentral